RNAcentral lists this small nuclear RNA (21 nucleotides) under Arabidopsis thaliana (thale cress). Its description in RNAcentral is "snRNA_15324". The record is from RNAcentral. Lineage: Eukaryota; Viridiplantae; Streptophyta; Magnoliopsida; Brassicales; Brassicaceae.
UUGUCGGAAAAUUCAGGAGAA